Molecule: small nucleolar RNA, 249 nt
Filed under: Chelonia mydas (Green sea turtle)
Lineage: Eukaryota; Metazoa; Chordata; Testudines; Cheloniidae
Description: Small nucleolar RNA SNORD17
Rfam family: Small nucleolar RNA SNORD17
About the family: The snoRNA HBI-43 belongs to the C/D family of snoRNAs, guiding 2'O-ribose methylation at position U3797 of the 28S rRNA.
Source: Rfam by way of RNAcentral
GUGAAAUGAUGAUGAAGUUUAUCCAUUCUCUGAGUACUGCUGCACUGCCCUCCCUGCAGCACCUAGAUUCCUGUUCUAGGGUCUCUGUGCUGUGCAGUCUCCAAAUACCCUCCAGCCUUUCAGUGUUCUACUGGGGGCUGCUUGAGGGUGUGGCUGGCUGCCUGCAGGAGCGGGACAGAGCCAGCAGAGCUGGAGCCCCUCUCCGUGGGGGCUCCAUCUCAACCAAGACGAGUGAUGCUCUCUGAUCAC